This 253-nucleotide ribosomal RNA is filed under the name uncultured bacterium. RNAcentral describes it as "partial 16S ribosomal RNA". It matches the Rfam family "Bacterial small subunit ribosomal RNA", at positions 524 to 776 of the family's 1533-position model. The record is from RNAcentral.
AACGUAGGAGACAGACGUUAUCCGGAGUUACUGGGCGUAAAGGGCGUGUAGGUGGUUAUGUAAGUCUGGCGUGAAAUUUUUCGGCUUAACCGGGAAAGGUCGUCGGAUACUGCACAACUAGAGGACGGUAGAGGCGUGUGGAAUUCCGGGUGUAGUGGUGAAAUGCGUAGAGAUCCGGAGGAACACCAGUGGCGAAGGCGACACGCUGGGCCGUACCUGACACUGAUGCGCGACAGCAUGGGGAGCAAACAGG